CGGCAGCCGGCCGUACACGCCCCGAGGAGAGCAAGGUAGGU
This 41-nucleotide unclassified non-coding RNA is filed under the name Sorangium cellulosum So ce56. Lineage: Bacteria; Pseudomonadati; Myxococcota; Polyangiales; Polyangiaceae. The record is from RNAcentral.